This 352-nucleotide unclassified non-coding RNA is filed under the name soil metagenome. RNAcentral's name for it is "partial contains 5.8S ribosomal RNA, internal transcribed spacer 2, and large subunit ribosomal RNA". The stretch from base 1 to 120 matches the Rfam family "5.8S ribosomal RNA", at positions 35 to 154 of the family's 154-position model. The record is from RNAcentral.
GAUGAAGAACGUAGCGAAAUGCGAAAAGUAAUGUGAAUUGCAGAAUUCAGUGAAUCAUCGAAUCUUUGAACGCACAUUGCGCCCGCUGGUACUCCGGCGGGCACGCCUGUCCGAGCGUCAUUUCAACCCUCAAGCCCUCCUUCGGGAUGGGCCUGGUGUUGGGGCUCGGCCGCCAUCUCCGGCGGCCGUCACCUAAAUACAGUGGCGGUCACGUCGCGACUCCUUUGCGUAGUAGAAACACCUCGCUCCGGAUAGCAACGCGGUCCACGCCGUAAAACCCCCAAUUUUCAAUGGUUGACCUCGGAUCAGGUGGGAAUACCCGCUGAACUUAAGCAUAUCAAUAAGCGGAGGA